Molecule: transfer RNA, 63 nt
Filed under: Placosternum urus
Lineage: Eukaryota; Metazoa; Arthropoda; Insecta; Hemiptera; Pentatomidae
Description: tRNA-Arg
Source: RNAcentral
GAUAAUGAAGUUAAAAAUUACAAUUAGUUUCGACCUAAUAUUAGGAUAAUAUAUCCCUUAUCU